GUAAAUAUGGCGAAACGGGUAAACGCACUAAAUUUAGGAUUUAGUAGUUAAGAGUUCGAGUCUCUUUAUUUAUA
Molecule: transfer RNA, 74 nt
Filed under: Babesia orientalis
Lineage: Eukaryota; Apicomplexa; Aconoidasida; Piroplasmida; Babesiidae
Description: tRNA-Leu
Rfam family: tRNA
About the family: Transfer RNA (tRNA) molecules are approximately 80 nucleotides in length. Their secondary structure includes four short double-helical elements and three loops (D, anti-codon, and T loops). Further hydrogen bonds mediate the characteristic L-shaped molecular structure. tRNAs have two regions of fundamental functional importance: the anti-codon, which is responsible for specific mRNA codon recognition, and the 3' end, to which the tRNAs corresponding amino acid is attached (by aminoacyl-tRNA synthetases). tRNAs cope with the degeneracy of the genetic code in two manners: having more than one tRNA (with a specific anti-codon) for a particular amino acid; and 'wobble' base-pairing, i.e. permitting non-standard base-pairing at the 3rd anti-codon position.
Source: RNAcentral